This is a long non-coding RNA of Ananas comosus (pineapple), 194 nucleotides long. RefSeq lists it as uncharacterized. NCBI's taxonomy places the organism in Eukaryota, Viridiplantae, Streptophyta, Magnoliopsida, Poales, Bromeliaceae. The record is from RefSeq and is a predicted model, not a curated record. The transcript is spliced from 2 exons.
GGUUCAUAUUUUUUUUGGCUUCUUGAGAACUGAUACAAUUAAACAAACAACGAAAAAGCAUAACAGCUAAGCCACGACUGUCCUUCGCCUUUAAACUUUAAGAGGCCCAAGAUCACGGGAAACCUCUUACUAAAGCAAUAAUAGUAACAACAACACUAAACCAAACCAAUAAUAAUAAGAAUAAUAAUACCAAU